UUAAAGGUGCAAUCUGGGAUAUUUGCUGUUUAAUAUUUGGUGGUGGGCUAAUGUUGAGCUUUAACACAAAUCCCAGAUUGUAUCUUUAAGGUCCAAGCUGCCCUAAACUGCUGUUGUCAUGUUCAUUAGGGGACACAAUGGAAAACAUUUAAAUGUUGUGCAAUGGAAAAAGAAAACGGGCAUUUCAUAUUGGACAAGUCCAGGUGGUAGGUGGUAGGUCUAGGUGGUAGGUCCAGGUGGUAGGUGGUAGGUCCAGGUGGUAGGUGGUCGGUCCAGGUGGUAGGUGGUCGGUCCAGGUGGUAGGUGGUAGGUCCAGGUGGUAGGUGGUAGGUCCAGGUGGUAGGUGGUAGGUCCAGGUGGUAGGUGGUCGGUCCAGGUGGUAGGUGGUAGGUCCAGGUGGUAGGUGGUCGGUCCAGGUGGUAGGUGGUAGGUCCAGGUGGUAGGUGGUAGGUCCAGGUGGUAGGUGGUAGGUCUAGGUGGUAGGUCCAGGUGGUAGGUGGUAGGUCCAGGUGGUAGGUGGUAGGUCCAGGUGGUAGGCUAGUCCCUCACUGUUUAAUUUUUAUUUUAUUUUUUAUUAUUUUUUUUUUUAUCACCUUUAUUUAACCAGGUAGGCCAGUUGAGAACAAGUCCUCAUUUACAACUGUGACCUGGCCAAGAUAAAACAAAGCAGUGCGACACAAACACAGACAGAGAUAAAACAUGGAAUAAACAAACGUACAGUCAAUAACACAAUAGAAAAGUCUAUAUACAGUAUGUGCAAAUUAAGUAAGAUUAGGGAGGUAAG
Oncorhynchus tshawytscha (Chinook salmon) is the source of this 784-nucleotide long non-coding RNA. The record is from Ensembl. Lineage: Eukaryota; Metazoa; Chordata; Actinopteri; Salmoniformes; Salmonidae.